This 834-nucleotide long non-coding RNA is filed under the name Eucalyptus grandis. RNAcentral describes it as "long non-coding RNA (EGRA_LNC003126)". Lineage: Eukaryota; Viridiplantae; Streptophyta; Magnoliopsida; Myrtales; Myrtaceae. The record is from RNAcentral.
UCAACUUAUGUACCCUGAUUCGCCGUCCAGCAUUUACUUGCUGUUCAUGCAUUUGAGUCUUCCCCUGUCUCAUCGCUGCAUUAUUCUCUUUUAUGGCUGUGCUUGGUCCUCCAUGUGCAAAUUCGGUUACACCUCUAUCUCGGGAUCCACCUUUCCUUUGAUUCCACCUUCGAUAACUUUUGAGGAGCGCUUGUGCUGAGUCAAUAAUAGCCGACACUUCUGGUUUUCUACCCCGAAAAACUGCCUGAUUUCUGGCCUUCCACAUAUUCCACAAUGUUACAGCUACCAUAUUCAGGUUUGGAAGGUUCAUUGUCUUCUGUUUGAGUUGACAAAACCAUUCUUCUAUCCUUGUCAAACCCUGACGUGAAAUUUUAAUGUGCAGCUCUUUGUGCCAAAUCUGUGUUGUCCAUGGACACAACAAAAAUAGAUGUUCAACCGUUUCCCUCUCAAGAUUACAUAAUGGGCAGAUGGGGUCAGGUAAUAUUUUCCUUCCAAACAGAUUAUCUUUUGUGGGGAGAGCAUUAUUACAUAAAUUCCACAUAAAUAUUUUUAUCUUGGGCGGGGUGUGCAAAUUCCAUAUGUCUUUCCAAAGUGAGGGGGGAGGUUGGAAAGAAGUUGUUGGUUGAUUCUCCUGAACUUGUGCUUUAGCCUCCUUGAUGUAGUUAUAUGCACUCUUCACUGUAUAUUUACCUGUCUGCGUGCCAGUCCAUACAAUUUGAUCCGUUUCUGUUUGUGGCUUGAUGGGGAUAGUCAUAAUUUCUUCAGCUAAUUUUUCAUCAAAGUGUGCUGCUAUUUUUAGUUUAUCCCAUCUCCCUUGCGCUUUGUUUAUAAUUU